Long non-coding RNA from Papilio xuthus (Asian swallowtail), 183 nucleotides. RefSeq lists it as uncharacterized. The transcript is spliced from 4 exons. The record is from RefSeq and is a predicted model, not a curated record. NCBI's taxonomy places the organism in Eukaryota, Metazoa, Arthropoda, Insecta, Lepidoptera, Papilionidae.
AAAAAGGAAAGUAACUAAAGAACAUAGUAAAUCUUCCUUCAUAAUUAAUUUUGUACUAACAAAAUUAACAGUGUGUUGGAUCCGCGUGUCAAGUAUCUUGUGAUGGCGUUAACUGCAAUGCUACGUGCAGUGGAGAUGAUUGUCUAGCUGCCUGUUCUGGUGACGAUUGUAAUGCUCAGGUAA